AGACCCGAAACCCGGUGAUCUAGCCAUGGGCAGGUUGAAGGUUGGGUAACACUAACUGGAGGACCGAACCGACUAAUGUUGAAAAAUUAGCGGAUGACCUGUGGCUGGGGGUGAAAGGCCAAUCAAACCGGGAGAUAGCUGGUUCUCCCCGAAAGCUAUUUAGGUAGCGCCUCGUGAAUUCAUCUCCGGGGGUAGAGCACUGUUUCGGCUAGGGGGCCAUCCCGGCUUACCAACCCGAUGCAAACUGCGAAUACCGGAGAAUGUUAUCACGGGAGACACACGGCGGGUGCUAACGUCCGUCGUGAAGAGGGAAACAACCCAGACCGCCAGCUAAGGUCCCAAAGUCAUGGUUAAGUGGGAAACGAUGUGGGAAGGCCCAGACAGCCAGGAUGUUGGCUUAGAAGCAGCCAUCAUUUAAAGAAAGCGUAAUAGCUCACUGGUCGAGUCGGCCUGCGCGGAAGAUGUAACGGGGCUAAACCAUGCACCGAAGCUGCGGCAGCGAACGUAUCACCCAAGACAACUUUACGGAGUUGACGAUUGACGGAGCGAAGCGACGUCAAAGCGUUCAUUAAAGUCGAGUUGGCUUAGGGGUACGUUCGUUGGGUAGGGGAGCGUUCUGUAAGCCUGUGAAGGUGUGUCGUGAGGCAUGCUGGAGGUAUCAGAAGUGCGA
RNAcentral lists this ribosomal RNA (670 nucleotides) under Salmonella enterica. RNAcentral describes it as "partial 23S ribosomal RNA". It matches the Rfam family "Bacterial large subunit ribosomal RNA", at positions 711 to 1293 of the family's 2925-position model. Lineage: Bacteria; Pseudomonadati; Pseudomonadota; Gammaproteobacteria; Enterobacterales; Enterobacteriaceae. The record is from RNAcentral.